UGGGGAAUUUUGGACAAUGGGCGAAAGCCUGAUCCAGCAAUGCCGCGUGUGUGAAGAAGGCCUUCGGGUUGUAAAGCACUUUUGUCCGGAAAGAAAUCCUUGGCUCUAAUACAGUCGGGGGAUGACGGUACCGGAAGAAUAAGCACCGGCUAACUACGUGCCAGCAGCCGCGGUAAUACGUAGGGUGCAAGCGUUAAUCGGAAUUACUGGGCGUAAAGCGUGCGCAGGCGGUUUGCUAAGACCGAUGUGAAAUCCCCGGGCUCAACCUGGGAACUGCAUUGGUGACUGGCAGGCUAGAGUAUGGCAGAGGGGGGUAGAAUUCCACGUGUAGCAGUGAAAUGCGUAGAGAUGUGGAGGAAUACCGAUGGCGAAGGCAGCCCCCUGGGCCAAUACUGACGCUCAUGCACGAAAGCGUGGGGGAGCAAACAGGAUUAGAUACCCUGGUAGUCCACGCCCUAAACGAUGUCAACUAGUUGUUGGGGAUUCAUUUCCUUAGUAACGUAGCUAACGCGUGAAGUUGACCGCCUGGGGAGUACGGUCGCAAAGAUUAAAACUUAAAUGAAUUGACGGGGU
RNAcentral lists this ribosomal RNA (573 nucleotides) under uncultured bacterium. RNAcentral describes it as "partial 16S ribosomal RNA". It matches the Rfam family "Bacterial small subunit ribosomal RNA", at positions 355 to 919 of the family's 1533-position model. The record is from RNAcentral.